Molecule: transfer RNA, 63 nt
Filed under: Fukomys damarensis (Damara mole-rat)
Lineage: Eukaryota; Metazoa; Chordata; Mammalia; Rodentia; Bathyergidae
Rfam family: tRNA
About the family: Transfer RNA (tRNA) molecules are approximately 80 nucleotides in length.
Source: Rfam by way of RNAcentral
GGGGAUAUAGCUCAGUGCCAUAGUGCCUGCCUGGCAAGCAGGAGGCCCUAAGUUCCAUCCCCA